GACGAACGCUGGCGGCGUGCUUAACACAUGCAAGUCGAACGGAAAGGCCCUGCUUGCAGGGUACUCGAGUGGCGAACGGGUGAGUAACACGUGGGUGAUCUGCCCUGCACUUCGGGAUAAGCCUGGGAAACUGGGUCUAAUACCGGAUAGGAGCCAUUUUUAGUGUGAUGGUUGGAAAGUUUUUUCGGUGUAGGAUGAGCUCGCGGCCUAUCAGCUUGUUGGUGGGGUAAUGGCCUACCAAGGCGGCGACGGGUAGCCGGCCUGGGAGGGUGGACGGCCACAGUGGGACUGAGACACGGCCCAGACUCCUACGGGAGGCAGCAGUGGGGAAGAUUGAACAAGGGGCGCGAGCCUGAUGCAGCGACGCCGCGUGGGGGAUGACGGCCUUCGGGUUGUAAACUCCUUUCGCUAGGGACGAAGCUUUUUGUGACGGUACCUAGAGAAGAAGCACCGGCUAACUACGUG
RNAcentral lists this ribosomal RNA (465 nucleotides) under uncultured bacterium. Its description in RNAcentral is "partial 16S ribosomal RNA". It matches the Rfam family "Bacterial small subunit ribosomal RNA", at positions 28 to 507 of the family's 1533-position model. The record is from RNAcentral.